GGUAGGGAUACCCGCUGAACUUAAGCAUAUCAAUAAGCGGAGGAAA
RNAcentral lists this ribosomal RNA (46 nucleotides) under Alternaria oxytropis. RNAcentral describes it as "partial 28S ribosomal RNA". Lineage: Eukaryota; Fungi; Ascomycota; Dothideomycetes; Pleosporales; Pleosporaceae. The record is from RNAcentral.